This is a small nuclear RNA of Vombatus ursinus (common wombat), 107 nucleotides long. The record is from Ensembl. NCBI's taxonomy places the organism in Eukaryota, Metazoa, Chordata, Mammalia, Diprotodontia, Vombatidae.
GUGCUUGCUUUGGCAGCACAUAUACUAAAAUUGGAACAAUACAGACAAGAUUGGCAUGGUCCCUGCACAAGGAAUACAUGCAAAUUCUUAGAGUGUUCCAUAUUUUU